GAUGAACGCUGGCGGCGUGCCUAAUACAUGCAAGUCGAGCGAACAGACGAGGAGCUUGCUCCUUCGACGUUAGCGGCGGACGGGUGAGUAACACGUAGGUAACCUACCUAUAAGACUGGGAUAACUUCGGGAAACCGGAGCUAAUACCGGAUAAUAUUUCGAACCGCAUGGUUCGAUAGUGAAAGAUGGCUUUGCUAUCACUUAUAGAUGGACCUGCGCCGUAUUAGCUAGUUGGUAAGGUAACGGCUUACCAAGGCAACGAUACGUAGCCGACCUGAGAGGGUGAUCGGCCACACUGGAACUGAGACACGGUCCAGACUCCUACGGGAGGCAGCAGUAGGGAAUCUUCCGCAAUGGGCGAAAGCCUGACGGAGCAACGCCGCGUGAGUGAUGAAGGUCUUCGGAUCGUAAAACUCUGUUAUUAGGGAAGAACAAACGUGUAAGUAACUGUGCACGUCUUGACGGUACCUAAUCAGAAAGCCACGGCGAACUACGU
Molecule: ribosomal RNA, 496 nt
Filed under: uncultured bacterium
Lineage: Bacteria
Description: partial 16S ribosomal RNA
Rfam family: Bacterial small subunit ribosomal RNA
Source: RNAcentral